UACGGAGGAUCCGAGCGUUAUCCGGAUUUAUUGGGUUUAAAGGGUGCGUAGGCGGCUAAUUAAGUUAGCGGUGAAAUGCAGGGGCUUAACCCCUGAUCUGCCGCUGAUACUGGUUGGCUGGAGAUUGGAUGCAGCAGGCGGAAUGUGUGGUGUAGCGGUGAAAUGCAUAGAGAUCACACAGAACACCGAUUGCGAAGGCAGCUUGCUAAUCCACAUCUGACGCUGAUGCACGAAAGCGUGGGUAGCGAACAGG
RNAcentral lists this ribosomal RNA (253 nucleotides) under uncultured bacterium. RNAcentral describes it as "partial 16S ribosomal RNA". It matches the Rfam family "Bacterial small subunit ribosomal RNA", at positions 524 to 776 of the family's 1533-position model. The record is from RNAcentral.